ACUUGACCCUGCAGAGCCUCCUGGCAUUGAGCAAGUAGGUGUGGAGCAGGUGAGAAGAUCUUACCCAAGAUCCUCUGAAGGACAGCAAAGCACACACUCUAAUCUUUGAAUUAUCUGCUUCUUUACUGUUUAACAUCAACAAAACAUCCUUUCUUAUUAAAGUUUGCUCUCUCCAGAGGGUUUGUAGAUGUUGGGGUGUGCUGCUUCACCAACAUCAAGAAGAAAAACAAGGGCUUAUGGCUUCCUUUAAAUAUACUGUUCCUCAGUUUAACUCACAUUUUGAGGAUGAUGGUCAAAAAAUUUAUUUGCUUUUUAUUUAUGGUUCAAAGCACAGAACCAGACUGAUGCAUACUGAAGUUGUUUACAGUUUUUGUUAAAUGUCACCAUCUGAAUAAUUUCUUCUGUAUGUUUCUGAGUCUGUGAGUUUCUUGUGCUGGUCUUGCUGCAGCCUCUGACAUGAGACAUGCAGAUGAAGCAGCAAAAUUGGGCUUGAGUUACACCUGCCUCAUCAGUGUGCACAUUAACUUUCACAUGCUGAGCACGUGGACCUGCAAGAAUUGUGGUCCACAGUUUGUGAGGGAAGAGGAUUUUCUAAACCUCUUGGUGCCUGGAGGCUCUGUGAGCCAGUGCCUGCAAGACUACCCAAAAUAGGAAAAGUGAGACUAUUUGUGCCAGUAUGGAGCUGAGACGUCAUCAUUGCAGUGGUCAUUCUUUACCCUUCCAAAGCGAGUAACAACAAUUUCAUGUGAACUAUAAGAUCCACAGAGCCUGUGUGCCAAAUUAAGCAAUUAUCUUAUUAAAUUAUGUCUUUUUAAAUCAGAUCCUCAACUCUAUUUUUCUUCCUCCUUUCAGUGUGUUUGCAAAUCUGUUAAUCCUCCAGUUAAAGAGAUUAAUUUUCACCUUGUCCUUCAGGGUGGCAAAGUUCUUAUUUUCUGCACGCUCAGAUUUGGAUCUGUUGGGUUUCAGUGAUUUUGGUUUGACGACAUUUAAUGCAGUUUUUAGGAGUGCAUUUAUUAGCUAAGGGGAUGGCAGGAAGGUAAAGUGCUAGGGUCAAAUGGGAACAUGAAAUACAUGUAAAAAUUGAUGUUGAUUAAUAAUGUCUUGAAUAUCUUUUU
Molecule: long non-coding RNA, 1115 nt
Organism: Melanotaenia boesemani (Boeseman's rainbowfish)
Lineage: Eukaryota; Metazoa; Chordata; Actinopteri; Atheriniformes; Melanotaeniidae
Exons: 3
Source: RefSeq, a predicted model, not a curated record